RNAcentral lists this ribosomal RNA (497 nucleotides) under uncultured bacterium. Its description in RNAcentral is "partial 16S ribosomal RNA". It matches the Rfam family "Bacterial small subunit ribosomal RNA", at positions 28 to 507 of the family's 1533-position model. The record is from RNAcentral.
GACGAACGCUGGCGGCGUGCCUAAUACAUGCAAGUUGAGCGCUGAAGGUUGGUACUUGUACCAACUGGAUGAGCAGCGAACGGGUGAGUAACGCGUGGGGAAUCUGCCUUUGAGCGGGGGACAACAUUUGGAAACGAAUGCUAAUACCGCAUAAAAACUUUAAACACAAGUUUUAAGUUUGAAAGAUGCAAUUGCAUCACUCAAAGAUGAUCCCGCGUUGUAUUAGCUAGUUGGUGAGGUAAAGGCUCACCAAGGCGAUGAUACAUAGCCGACCUGAGAGGGUGAUCGGCCACAUUGGGACAGAGACACGGCCCAAACUCCUACGGGAGGGAGCAGUAGGGAAUCUUCGGCAAUGGACGAAAGUCUGACCGAGAAACGCCGAGUGAGUGAAGAAGGUUUUCGGAUCGUAAAACUCUGUUGGUAGAGAAGAACGUUGGUGAGAGUGGAAAGCUCAUCAAGUGACGGUAACUACCCAGAAAGGGACGGCUAACUACGUG